Molecule: ribosomal RNA, 499 nt
Filed under: uncultured bacterium
Lineage: Bacteria
Description: bacterial SSU rRNA
Rfam family: Bacterial small subunit ribosomal RNA
Source: RNAcentral
GAUGAACGCUAGCGACAGGCCUAACACAUGCAAGUCGAGGGGCAGCACAUGAGUAGCAAUACGAUGGUGGCGACCGGCGCACGGGUGAGUAACACGUAUGCAACCUACCUGUAAGAGGGGAAUAACCCGGAGAAAUUCGGACUAAUACCGCAUAAUACUUUUGAACUGCAUGGUUUUAAAGUUAAACAUUUAUGGCUUACAGAUGGGCAUGCGUAUGAUUAGCUAGUUGGUGAGGUAACGGCUCACCAAGGCAACGAUCAUUAGGGGUUCUGAGAGGAAGGUCCCCCACACUGGUACUGAGACACGGACCAGACUCCUACGGGAGGCAGCAGUGAGGAAUAUUGGUCAAUGGGCGAGAGCCUGAACCAGCCAAGUCGCGUGAAGGAAGAAGGUUCUAUGGAUUGUAAACUUCUUUUGUAAGGGAAUAAAAAGAGCUACGUGUAGCUUAUUGUAUGUACUUUACGAAUAAGGAUCGGCUAACUCCGUGCCAGCAGCCGAC